GUAUAGUUUAUGCACCUUACAGAACUGUUUCUUCACGUUGUUAUUUUGUUGUUAAGUGUUUUGGUUAAUAAAUAAUCAUGACCACUUACCACACUGCGCUUUGGUCCGAUCCUCAUUACAACGAGAGCCGUGACACCCAUGGUGUUUCUACUUGCGUACUAUUGUUUGUACAGAUGAACGUGGUACCUUCAGGCAUUCAGAAAUUGAUCCCAAGGAUGAACCAGACUCAGGUCUACAGUUUUUUUCUGAAGUCUUGGCUGAUUUAUUUAGAUUAUCCCAUGAUGUCAAGCAAAGAGGCACUGAGUUUGAAGCAGCUGGGACUGAGGAGCAGGCAGUUUCCUAUGGGCACCUCUGGGCACCUUUCAUCCAAGCUACUCAAUACUGCCCCUGCAGCCAUAAGAAGUUAAUGACUCCAACCUAAAUUGACCUGCUCAAAGGGUUCCAGGACUCUGCACACCUCCUUCACCACCUCCCAUUCCUCUUGGGCGAGAGCAUCAACAAUGGCCAGGGUAGAG
Molecule: long non-coding RNA, 515 nt
Organism: Oncorhynchus tshawytscha (Chinook salmon)
Lineage: Eukaryota; Metazoa; Chordata; Actinopteri; Salmoniformes; Salmonidae
Source: Ensembl